Molecule: transfer RNA, 72 nt
Filed under: Ictidomys tridecemlineatus (thirteen-lined ground squirrel)
Lineage: Eukaryota; Metazoa; Chordata; Mammalia; Rodentia; Sciuridae
Description: Spermophilus tridecemlineatus (thirteen-lined ground squirrel) tRNA
Rfam family: tRNA
About the family: Transfer RNA (tRNA) molecules are approximately 80 nucleotides in length. Their secondary structure includes four short double-helical elements and three loops (D, anti-codon, and T loops). Further hydrogen bonds mediate the characteristic L-shaped molecular structure. tRNAs have two regions of fundamental functional importance: the anti-codon, which is responsible for specific mRNA codon recognition, and the 3' end, to which the tRNAs corresponding amino acid is attached (by aminoacyl-tRNA synthetases). tRNAs cope with the degeneracy of the genetic code in two manners: having more than one tRNA (with a specific anti-codon) for a particular amino acid; and 'wobble' base-pairing, i.e. permitting non-standard base-pairing at the 3rd anti-codon position.
Source: Rfam by way of RNAcentral
GGGGAUACAGCUCAGUUGGUAGAGUGCUUGCCUUGCAUGCACAAGGCCUGGGUUCAACCCCCAGCACCACCA